CCUCCAGCUGUUUUGGGACUACAAUUCCCACCAUCCCUGACCACUGGCCCUGUUAGCUUGGGUUGAUGGGAGUUGUAGUCCCAAAACAGCUGGAGG
This 96-nucleotide microRNA precursor is filed under the name Podarcis lilfordi (Lilford's wall lizard). Lineage: Eukaryota; Metazoa; Chordata; Lepidosauria; Squamata; Lacertidae. The record is from RNAcentral.